GGAGAGAGCCUCACUUGUCACACUGUUGCGGUACAACCGUAUUGAUACUUUUUCUCUCAGAUCAAGAACUACUGAUAUCCACAUGUACAGACAUUAGAACCAGGAAGCACGAUGGAGCGCAGAGCAGGGCUUCUCAUGUCAUGGCAGCCACAGACGGCACACACUUCCCAUCCAACUGGCUCCCAGGGCAGGGUCCUCAAGGCUCCCCCAGGCACCAGGAGCAAGUCCUCGGGCUGCAAUCAGUAAACACCAGCUGGUUGGGACUUGCCUAGACCAUAAGCACCCUUGGCCUUGAUGGUGGAUGAGUGAGUCAGGCCUAUGCAGGUGCAUCUGUGACUUCAGCAGAACGGCCUGGCCCAGUCAACCCUCAGCACCCCUGCGAAGCCCAUGAAACCUGGACACACAAAGUGUCACAGCCUCGGGGACCUUGGGACCCAUAGAAUCCCAGGCCCCUUCCACCCGUGUUGAACCAGAACCUGCAUUUCAAGCAUUCACGCACACCCAGGAAGCCCUCUGCACAUUCAGGUCUGAGACUGUCUCGCUUAGGACUACCAUGCUUGCCUCACAUGACUUUCUCUUCCCAUGACUUUCUCUCCCUGUGUUUCUGCUGGCUCUGACCAAUCUGAGCUGCCCAAAAGGAACAUCCUCGGUGGCAGUCCAGUCCCCAAGCCUACCACAUCAAUCAGCUCAGGUGAAUUCAAAUGAAGCUAGAUUGGAACUGUAGUGAGACCGACCAUCCUUGAAGGGGAAAUUCAUGUGACGAACUUACUGUAAAGACCACUGGUCACAACAGCUCACAAUGAACACUCGUCUUUGAAUCAAACUUCCAUCAGCUGGCACUGACUUGGGCGUCUACUCUACCAGGAAACCAGUUCCUGGUGCCAAAAUGUGUGGAGGCCACUGAGCCAACAGAUAUGAGAGGAAGAAGAAAACCGGAACAGUCUCACCGUUAUGAGAUAUGACUCAGGAACUCUGGGAUAAAAGAACUUUCAAACCUUGAUUUGGCCCA
Molecule: long non-coding RNA, 1009 nt
Filed under: Heterocephalus glaber (naked mole-rat)
Lineage: Eukaryota; Metazoa; Chordata; Mammalia; Rodentia; Bathyergidae
Description: lncRNA (ENSHGLG00000027396.2)
Source: RNAcentral